GUGCAUUGUAGUUGCAUUGCAUGUGCAACACAGAAGUGCAAUGUAACUGCAGUGCAGCC
Molecule: microRNA precursor, 59 nt
Filed under: Branchiostoma floridae (Florida lancelet)
Lineage: Eukaryota; Metazoa; Chordata; Leptocardii; Amphioxiformes; Branchiostomatidae
Description: Bfl-Mir-33-P6_pre stem-loop
Rfam family: mir-33 microRNA precursor family
Source: RNAcentral